RNAcentral lists this ribosomal RNA (497 nucleotides) under uncultured bacterium. RNAcentral describes it as "partial 16S ribosomal RNA". It matches the Rfam family "Bacterial small subunit ribosomal RNA", at positions 28 to 507 of the family's 1533-position model. The record is from RNAcentral.
GACGAACGCUGGCGGCGUGCCUAAUACAUGCAAGUUGAGCGCUGAAGGUUGGUACUUGUACCAACUGGAUGAGCAGCGAACGGGUGAGUAACGCGUGGGGAAUCUGCCUUUGAGCGGGGGACAACAUUUGGAAACGAAUGCUAAUACCGCAUAAAAACUUUAAACACAAGUUUUAAGUUUGAAAGAUGCAAUUGCAUCACUCAAAGAUGAUCCCGCGUUGUAUUAGCUAGUUGGUGAGGUAAAGGCUCACCAAGGCGAUGAUACAUAGCCGACCUGAGAGGGUGAUCGGCCACAUUGGGACUGAGACACGGCCCAAACUCCUACGGGAGGCAGCAGUAGGGAAUCUUCGGCAAUAGACGAAAGUCUGACCGAGCAACGCCGCGGGAGUGAAGAAGGUUUUCGGAUCGUAAAACUCUGUUGGUAGAGAAGAACGUUGGUGGGAGUGGAAAGCUCAUCAAGUGACGGUAACUACCCAGAAAGGGACGGCUAACUACGUG